AUACGGAAGGUCCGGGCGUUAUCCGGAUUUAUUGGGUUUAAAGGGAGCGCAGGCGGAGAUGCAAGCGUGACGUCAAAUUUCGGGGCUCAACCCCGUCUCGCGUCGCGAACUGCGUCCCUUGGUUGCGGGAAGGGGAGGCGGAACUCGUGGUGUAGCGGUGAAAUGCAUAGAUAUCACGAAGAACUCCGAUCGCGAAGGCAGCCUUCCGGCCCGUCAACGACGCUCAUGCUCGAAGGUGCGGGUAUCAAACAGGAUUAGAUACCCUGGUAGUCCGCACAGUAAACGAUGGACACCCGCGGUUUGGCCUGUAUGGCUGAGCCGUCAAGCGAAAGCGUUAAGUGUCCCACCUGGGGAGUACGCCGGCAACGGUGAAACUCAAAGGAAUUGACGGGG
This 393-nucleotide ribosomal RNA is filed under the name uncultured bacterium. Its description in RNAcentral is "partial 16S ribosomal RNA". It matches the Rfam family "Bacterial small subunit ribosomal RNA", at positions 523 to 918 of the family's 1533-position model. The record is from RNAcentral.